UACAGAGGUCUCAAGCGUUGUUCGGAUUCAUUGGGCGUAAAGGGUGCGUAGGCGGCGCGGUAAGUCGGGUGUGAAAUCUUGGAGCUUAACUCCGAAACUGCAUUCGAUACUGCCGUGCUUGAGGACUGGAGAGGAGACUGGAAUUUACGGUGUAGCGGUGAAAUGCGUAGAUAUCGUAAGGAAGACCAGUGGCGAAGGCGGGUCUCUGGACAGUAACUGACGCUGAGGCACGAGAGCGUGGGUAGCAAACAGG
RNAcentral lists this ribosomal RNA (253 nucleotides) under uncultured bacterium. RNAcentral's name for it is "partial 16S ribosomal RNA". It matches the Rfam family "Bacterial small subunit ribosomal RNA", at positions 524 to 776 of the family's 1533-position model. The record is from RNAcentral.